Molecule: long non-coding RNA, 2500 nt
Filed under: Hordeum vulgare
Lineage: Eukaryota; Viridiplantae; Streptophyta; Magnoliopsida; Poales; Poaceae
Description: long non-coding RNA (HVUL_LNC018657)
Source: RNAcentral
CAUGUUUUAUCGGUAUAAAGUUCACAUAAGACCUGUUUGCCUUGAUGUAUGAGUUUGUUUAGUCUAGUUCUACCUGUCAUUUGUAUACUGAAUAAUGUGAAUGCCAAAUUAAUUUGGUAACGAGGUUGUUUCCAAAUAGUUUGUACUCAUUUCUGGCAGCAUUUUGAAUGACAAUAUAGUAUAGUUAUGUUUUUAUUGUUUCAGUCUACACUAUUGUGUUGUUAAGCAUGUACUCCCUUCGUUUUUAUUUACUUCACGUAUUAGCUUUGUCUCGAGUCAAACUUUCUAAACUUUGACCUAAUUUAUACAAAAAAAUAUUAAUAUCCACAAUACCAAAUCAAUACCAUUAGAAUCACCAUUCAAUAUAUUUUCAUACCAUAAAUAUUUUCUUAUUAUGAAAAUUUAGAUUGAUUUUGAUAAACUUGGUCAAACUUUAUAAUGUUUGACUUAAUAUACUUAAUGAACUCAAAUACCUUAGUCAUUGCCCACACACGUUGAGAAAGCUAGUUUGUACUACUGUUUAUCUUAUGUUUGCAUGUUUUAUCGGUGUAAAGUUCACAUAAUACCUGUUUGCCUUGAUGUAUGAGUUUGUUUAGUCUAGUUCUACCUGUCAUUUGUAUACUGAAUAAUGUGAAUGCCAAAAUUAAUUUGGUAACAAGGUUGUUUCCAAAUAGUUUGUACUCAUUUCUGGCAGCAUUUUGAAUGACAAUAUAGUAUAGUUAUGUUUGUAUUGUUUCAAUCUACACUAUUGUGUUGUUAAGCAUGUACUCCCUUCGUUUUUAUUUACUUCACGUAUUAGCUUUGUCUCAAGUCAAACUUUCUAAACUUUGACCUAAUUUAUACAAAAAAAUAUUAAUAUCCACAAUACUAAAUCAAUACCAUUAGAAUCACCAUUCAAUAUAUUUUCAUACCAUAAAUAUAUUUUUAUUAUGAAAAUUUAGAUUGUUUUUGAUAAACUUGGUCAAACUUUAUAAUGUUUGACUUAGGUCAAAGCUAAUAUGCUGAGUAAAUAAAAACGGAUGGAGUAGUUUGCAUUCAUUUAAUUAAAUUCAAGUGCAAGUCCUAUAAUCAUUGCUUAAGAUAUUUUUACUUUUGCAUAAAAACAUUUUUAUACCGUGACUUAUAUAGUAUAUUUACCUCAAUUUUUUAAUUUGCAUGUUUUUUUUCUUAUUCCUUGAUGGGUCACUUCAUGUCCUUCAUGCUUUUAAUUCCAACUGUUUCACUGUCUGUUUUGCUACUUCCGUUAGUUUUAUCUUUGUGUGACUCUAGGUUUAUAUAGAAUUUGUUAACCACCUUACUUGAAAUGUGUAAAAUUUGAUCUCAACUUUAGCUGAUAAUAAGUUAAUAACCUGUCUUGGUAGCUUUUAUUGGAUUUUUUGUCUCCAGCAUAUAAUUGAGAAUAUUUCUCGUAAAAAUAUACCAAAGUAAUUUCAUAGAUAAAUCUCAAUGAUCUCAUAUUAUGAUUCAAGCAAGUGUAUGUAGAGUCUAAUUGUUUAUUUCACCUGAUUUGUUUCAGUUUUUGAUUAAAAAUUGGUAGGGAAGGCAUUUUGACCCUUUUGUCACUGUUAUUUGUUGUGCCACAGUGUUAGAGUUCCUUGUUCCAUACUUGUUUGUUGUUAUGUGCUACUCCACAGCUUUCAAUUUGUCAUGAAUUCAACUAGACUUCGUUUUUCCUUUUUGAAUGAAUUGGUGGUAGAAAGCAUUUUGACCUUUUUUGGCGCUGUUUUGUGCUACUCCACAGCUUUCAAUUUCCUUCUUUCAUACUUGUUUGUCUAAACUUUAUCUAGUUGUGCAUCCGUCAUGAAUUCGGAUGAAGUCUGAAUGUAAGUUAUGCCAUGAAUUCAGAUAACAGUUUAGGGUUACUGACUAAAAGGGAGUUUAGGGUUGUAAAACCAUUAUUUCUUUUUAUUUAUGUUAUUGAGCUGUACUGUGUGUUGCUCAUCUUAUAUCCUUUUACUUCUGUGAGGUAAUUUUUAGUCCAUAUCAUAGUCAAGUCUUUGAGUUCACAUUUCAGUUACUAUGCUCUUCUAAGCUUUGAUGCCUAUAUUUCUGCAAAUAAGUACAAAGGUUAUUACCAUCAUCACUUCUUUUAGUAGCUCUGGUAGGUUCAUUAGUACUAUGCUAUAUCUGAAAUGUGAAGUUCGUACAUUUAACUUUUCUUUAUAUCUUUCUACGUUGUACAACUAGGUCAAACAUUUUGACUCGUGGUAUGUUAUUAGUAUCCCAUCGUCAAGUUAAUUUGGUAAAAAGGAAGUUUCGUUGUUGUAGUAUUAUGUUAAGUAUGGAUCUUUUUUCUAAGACAGUGCACUGUGAAUUAGCUAAUUUGGUGUGUGACUGAAUUUCUAGUGUGAUUGUGUACACUGUCAUUAUGUGAAGUGUUAAUUUUGCAUGUUGACCUUAUGUCUGGCUUUUUCGAGAAAACGCAGAGAGUGCGUUUCUUUGUAUUGAAAAGGUAGAAAGUCAGUCUCAGAGGAGACGGUUACAACAGAUUACAUGCAAU